RNAcentral lists this ribosomal RNA (502 nucleotides) under uncultured bacterium. RNAcentral describes it as "partial 16S ribosomal RNA". It matches the Rfam family "Bacterial small subunit ribosomal RNA", at positions 28 to 507 of the family's 1533-position model. The record is from RNAcentral.
GACGAACGCUGGCGGCGUGCUUAACACAUGCAAGUCGAACGGUGAAGGGGUCUGCUUUUGUGGGCCCUGGAUGAGUGGCGAACGGGUGAGUAACACGUGGGUAACCUGCCCCCUUCUUCUGGAUAACCGCAUGAAAGUGUGGCUAAUACGGGAUAUUCUGGGUCUGUCGCAUGAUGGGUCUGGGAAAGAUUGCGCCUUUGGGUGUUUUUGGUGGGGGAUGGGCUCGCGGCCUAUCAGCUUGUUGGUGGGGUGAUGGCCUACCAAGGCGGUGACGGGUAGCCGGCCUGAGAGGGUGGACGGUCACACUGGGACUGAGACACGGCCCAGACUCCUACGGGAGGCAGCAGUGGGGAAUAUUGCACAAUGGGCGCAAGCCUGAUGCAGCGACGCCGCGUGAGGGAUGGAGGCCUUCGGGUUGUAAACCUCUUUCGCCAGUGAAGCAGGCCUGCUCCUUGUGGGUGGGUUGACGGUAGCUGGAUAAGAAGCGCCGGCUAACUACGUG